AGCAUUUGUCCAUAUAGCUUCAGGUGUACUGGUUUGUGGCACUUAGCAAAGCAUAUUACCUGUGAUUUUUAAAUAGACAGUUUAAAUCCCCAUUUGUUUGCCCAUUCUUCAACUUUAUUUAUUGCAGGUUGCAUUUUGUCUACUCCACAUUUCGACCCCUGACCCAGAGUGCUCCAUCGUCAGCAUAAAGCGACUUUCCUAUGCCAAUUUCAACCUCUUCAAAGAUGUCAUUAAUCAUUAUGUUAAAUAGCAAUGGACCGCACAUACUACCCUGUGAGAUACCAUUUUCCACUGAAUAUUUAUUGGAAUAAUCUGUACCCACUUUAACUUCUAUGGUCCUCCCUAACAGGAAAAUCAACACCCAACUGUACAUGUUACGAUUUACACCUAAUUUGUUAAAGGAGCUAUAUGUAAGAAAUCUAAAGCAAAUAGCUGUAAAAUCAUCCUAAUAUGUCACAGAGACUAAGGAAUAAUGUUCAUAUAACAUACUGAUCUCACCGACAACAAUAGCACAGCCAGAAUAUUCGCAUUUAAAAAACAUUUUUACAGUCCGCAAAUCAUGUUUAUGUUUUGAAUUUGUGUUUUGGUCUGUUGCGCCACCCACCAGCGUCUACCAGUCACACAGUCAGUAGAGUCUCAGCAUCAGUUACAGUUAAGACUGAGCUACAGUAGCACGGCAAGCAGCAUUAGCAGUGUCCCGGUACAUAGCAUUAGCAGCUGGCUCCUCCUCAGCUGUAUCCUGGCAGCAGCGUUAGCAGUGUCCCGGUACAUAGCAUAAGCAGCCGGCUCCUCCACCGCUGUAUCCUGGCAGCAGCGUUAGCUGUGUACCAGUACAUAGCAUUAGCAGCCGGCUCCUCCUCAGCUGUAUCCUGGCAGCAGCGUUAGCUGUGUCCCGGUACAUAGCAUUAGCAGCCGGCUCCUCCUCAGCUGUAUCCCGGCAGCAGCGUUAGCAGCAGAGAAGCCGGACUUGCUCGAACGGUCCGCUGGAAAACUGAAGAUCAAGGACGCAGCGACGCGGCGCCUGUGGGCAAACAAAUCAGUCUCCAGCGUGCCGCUGUCCAGCAACCUCGAAUCUGUAGGGGAGGGGGGACGGACACGACUCGCGGCAGUAUUUUGAAUUUGAGUGCAGUAACAGUUUUGGCCACAUUCUUACAUACAGCGCCUUUAAAUUUGAUAAGGAGUCCCUCUUUCCGUAGCAUGUCAUAUGCUUUUUUUUUUUUGUGGUGACACCUCAUUGCAUCUCGCUGAUAAAGGGGCUUUGGCCAAUAUCCGGAGUGCUGGAGCUGAGACGGAGCCGGAACGCAGCACAGCUGUAGCCGGUGGAAACACACACAUUGACUAGAAUUGAAUCCUAUCGGCUCCGCUGCCGUGCCAACACACAUCUGGUGGAAAUAGGCCGUAAGGAGCAGCGGCUCUACUCUGGCUACACUGACUGGCCAUUCACAGACUACUGCUGCAACUGAAGCAGCGCCACACGCUGUGUUCUUCAGGCCCUCCUUCUGGCGUCGGCGUGGAAAAUCUCUGCCAGCUGACAUAACAACAUAACAUCUGACAUCUGAAAUUUACCAGUGCUGAUUCAUCCAUAGCGGGCCCGGUUUGGGCCCUCAGUGGUAAGUUUCUCUGCUAUUCCCUGGGUUGGACAGCUGUCUUUUCACCACUGCUUUGAUAUCCAUACUGCGGCAAAUAGUGCUGCACAUCUCGCCGUUUGCCCGUCCUGGCAUUUUGCUGGCUGUGGUUUUAUUUCUUUUACAGCUUUACCGAUGGCCCCAUCGGCGGCUGAGGUCACUGAGAUGAGGGCUGAGCUCCGGUCCAUUGAGCGGCUCAUCGAGGACCUCCUCCAGCAGCAGUCGGAGCUGUGUUCCCGACUGCCAUAUCUCGAGCCUGCGGGUAACCAGCGGACCUUGGCUGCGGAUGCGGCGGCUGGUGCUGCUGAAGUCCCUGGCUUGCUGUCUUCUUUCCCCUCCUGCUCGUCUGUAGUGAAAGGCAACAGAAGGCUCUCUCUUCCCCUCUAUGACCCGUCUGGUACUGGUGGUGGUGAUGACAUCCCCUUCACAAACUCCCCUCUGGCUGAGCUUUCCUCUGAGUCGGUCCUCUCCCCUGUUCCCCCACUUGAACGCAGAGUAGACCGUGUCGGACUGGCCAACAGAAAACACUCCAUAGCCAAAAAUCCAACCUCACCCAGGGACUCACUGUCCCCUCCAUCGGCCCCCAAACGGCCCCGUUUGUCACUCCAGUGGUUGGAGCCGGACAACCUGCCUGGCUCAGCAGCGGCUCCGGUAACCUCCUCUCCCCCAGCACAACCACCUGCUGCUGGCCUGGUGCCUCCCUCUGCGCGAGCAUCUAACCAUCCACACUCCGCUGAGCCCGGCCCGGCCCGGUCCUCGGUACUUGCCUUCACAGUCAACGCAGAGGUAUCUCACUCAUACACAAAACCGGCGACAUGCUAGCAAUGCUAAUAGGGCACUAGCUGCCUACUGGGCAGCUCAACCCAAACUCGCUGUCUAUGGACACGGUGUGGACUCCCCAGACGCUCAACAUGAAGUUCUGUUGCUUGGCGAUUCAAUGGUCAGAUUUGUUGAACUUCCUCACACCAUUACAUAUUGUUUCUCCGGUUUUAAAGUUGCUGAUAUGAUUGAACAAGCCCCUGCUAUUAUCGAUCUGCAUACCUCUGUCCACACUGUAGGCUUAAUUGUUCACCUGGGAACGAAUGACGUCAUGAUGAGGCAAUCAGCUAAACUCCACUAUGAGUUCGAGUCUUUAGCGACCACUAUUGAAAGCCUGGGUAAAACAUGCAUCCUGUCUGGUCCUGUUCCUACACUGAGAAAGGGAUCUGAACGUUUUAGCCGCCUGUUCAGUCUGAAUUCUUGGCUACAUACUUUCUGCACUGCUACUGGUUUUGGUUUUAUUGACCACUUUGAUUCAUUUUGGAGGAAAGAUUAUUUACUCAAAUGGGAUGGUAUUCAUCUGUCCAGACAUGGUGUGAAACAAUUUUCAGCAAACAUAAGGAAUUAUCUACCUCAUCUAUCUGACUGACAUACUUCUCUGCAGGCCCCUAUCCCUGAUAGGCCUUCUGUGAUUCCUGUGCUCAUCAUUAACCAACCCAGACUGCCAAAGGCUAAAUUAGAUUCUAAGAAUAAAAACAAAUCAAAUGUCAAUAGUAACCUCAUUUCAGUUAAGUGUACACCAACUCCAGAUAGCGUACAUCCCACUGCUUUUAACAGUAAACUUGGUCUUCUUAGUGUCAGAUCCCUUUCUAAUAAAUCAUUUUUAUGUAACGAUUUUAUUGUCAGCCAUGAUCUUGAUUUUUUUUUCUAAUCACUGAAUCAUGGCUGACCCAGGAUAACAUAGCUUCUUUAAUAGAAAUGAGUCCCUCUGGCUACUCCUAGCUGAACCAACCCAGAUUAACUGGCCGAGGGGGUGGUCUAGCUGUUUUCUAUAAGAGCUGUUUUAAAUGUUGUAGCACCACUUUUGGGUCUUUCACUACCUUUGAAUCCCUCUGUUUCACUAUUUCGGGUAGCGCACGAACCCUAUUCUUAUUUAUAGACCAUCUAAAUCUACAACUGGUUUUAUCACAGAAUUCUCAGAAUUAUUGUCAAUUGCUAUCCCUAAAUUCAAUAAUAUUUUAAUUUUAGGUGAUUUUAAUGUGCAUAUUUGUUGCCCUGAGAAUUUUUUAGCUAAUGAGUUUUUAAAUCUGGUGGAAUCUUUUAGUUUGUCUCUCGCUCCUACUGGUCCUACUCACACCAAAGGCCACACAUUGGAUCUCGUUUUAUUUACUGGAAUUACUGUAAACAACAUGCUCUGUAUUGAUAUUGGGGUCACUGAUCAUAAUUGUAUUUUAUUUAACACCGCCUUGCCCAUUAUUUCAAACCAACCUGAAAGUCAGACACGCUCCCGCAUUUUUAAUUCAACCUCUGCCUCCAUAUUCUGUCAAGAAUUUGCUUCCUCGGAGUUCCAAAUUUGCUCUUUAAUGAACACUAACGAUAUUUUAAAUGGUUUUAACAGCACCUGCUCAGACAUUCUAGACAUAGUUGCACCUUUUAAAACCAGAAAGGCUAAAAAUACCUCUCAACCCUGGAUAAAUGAGGAAAUUCGCUCAUUAAAGUCCGUGGAAAGCGAAUACAAUGAUUUGCUUCUAAACACCUUAUACAUGUUGGAAAAUUGUUACAGAAAACAUGUGAAAAGUUUGGGGAUUGUGCAUUACCGAUUUGUGGAGUUAUAGCCUUAAACUGUUUGUCAUCCUCUCAAUUUUUUUGAUUUUCUGACCCUGCAAAAAAGGGAUACGCCGUGACAUCUAGCCGUAUCCCGGGUGACCUUGGCCCCUCCCCUACUAUAUAAGGCCGAACGCGCCCUGUUGUCAUUGGAUAUCCCACUCACUUCUGAGUUAUUACCACACUGUUACUACCACAGCCUGUAUUUUGCUUGCUUGCUAGCUAGCCAUGCCUGCUCCACGUUCGUGUAUCUUCCCUGGAUGCCAUAAUUUAAAUAAUGGCUCUGUGUCAUUAUUUAAAUUCCCAAAAAGUGAAGAGCUGAGGAAACGAUGGAUUGAUUUCGUGAGGCGCCACACUGUUGGAGAGCUGAAGAUCACCGCCAACAGCCACCUCUGCAGCAACCACUUCACCAUGGAUAGUUUUCACAACUAUCAUCAAAAACAACUGGGCUUUACUUCUAAACCACUUUUACUGGUGAAUGAGGCUGAGCCCACCGUCUCCCUUCCCGGACUUCAUCCGUCAGUCGCGGCGACAUCAGGUGCCACAGUCGGCUGUAACGUCAAGAUCCCACCGAUGAGUCAGACCCUGCCAACCACAAGAGAUGCAGCAUGCCAGUGUGAUGACCUGCAAAAGGCCACAAGGGAAACUGGAUGUCAAACAGACUGCUAUGUGGGGAGAAGGACAGUGGCCACCCAACUGUCCAAAAGAACACUGUACAACAGAAAGACUACAGGCUCUCAAGCCACAGUGGCGACAAGAAGUGUUGCUGUGGGCAACAACACAUCCCAGUUUCUCCCACUCUGCUCUUCAGCACCACAGAAGCGCAGAGCUGGUCGAGAUGAUGGCCCACAAGCAAAACGCUCUCUCCUGGAAUGUCCCUCUCUUCAGGAAUCUGACGUAACCUCAGUCAGUACAGAUCCUGAUGAUUCCAACUAUCUCCCCAGCAUAUCAUCACUGGAUGACACCAUCAGUGACCAAGCACCAACAAAGACACCGCAGGAUAUCACAAAGUACCUGGUGUAUGUAUAUGUCUGUCCUCAAGCAGAACGGUAAUGGAAGGCCACACGAUUAACUGUCCACUUUGACAGUCUAAAAAUUUUAAUGAAAGAUUUUAAUUUGAAAAUUAAAAAUGCUCGAGCAAACUAUUUUACAGAUAUUAUUGAGAAAAACCAGCAUAACACCAGAGUGCUUUUUAAUAUCAGCCGCACUACAGAUGCCCCUCCCAUUGUGAUUGAGCCGUCUACGGAGACGUGAGGAGUUUUUAUCUUUCUUUUCUAACAAAGUCAGUACAAUAGGAAAUCAAAUCACCCCACUGCCUCUUGUAACACUCGAUCUACCCAUUAAUCUGUCGUGCUCUUUAAAUUUAUUUCACCCUGUCUCAGUAGAACAUCUUGGCAAAACCAUCUCUAGCAUGAAGUCCACAUCCUGUCCUCUUGAUAUCAUCCCCACCCGCUUCCUUAAAGAAGUUCUGCAUUUAGUUUGUCCUUUUAUUUUAACUAUAAUUAACUCUUCCCUCUCAUCAGGUAUAGUUCCUGACCACUUCAAGACUGCAUUAGUACAACCACUUCUCAAAAAACCCUCAUUAGACCUCACCAUCCUGAACAACUUUCGUCCCAUUUCCAAACUUCCAUUUCUGGCCAAGGUUUUAGAAAAAAUUGUUGCAGAACAGAUAAUUUCAUUUAUGACCAGAAAUGGCCUGUUUGAAAAAUUCCAGUCUGGCUUUAGAGCGGCCCAUAGCACAGAGACUGCGCUCCUCAAAGUGCUCAACGACCUUCUUUUAGCAGCUGACUCUGGCCAUUCAUCUAUUUUAAUCCUUUUAGAUCUCACUGCAGCUUUUGAUACCGUGGAUCACCUGAUUUUAUUGGAAUGUCUCAAGAAGUGGGUUGGCAUCUCUGGCACAGUUUUAGACUGGUUUUACUCAUAUCUCCAAAAUAGGACUUUUAAUGUUGCUAUUGGUGACUGCAGAUCUUCCACAGCAUCUUUGUCUUGUGGAGUACCUCAGGGGUCAGUCCUUGGCCCGCUGCUCUUCUCAGUCUACAUGUUACCACUAGGACACAUAAUCCGCAGACACAAUAUUAGUUUCCAUUUAUACGCAGAUGACACACAGCUUUAUUUCUCUUUCGACCCUACCAUCAACCAUCAACUGAACACUCUCCACCCUAACCCUAAAUGAAGUACAAAUCUGGCUGUCUAAUAACUUCCUUCAAUUGAACCCAGACAAAUCCGAAGUCAUUAUCAUAGGCCCAGACACCACACACAAUCACAUCUCACCACAACUUGGCUUAUUCUCCACCAGCAUCACCCCUAGCUGCAGAAAUCUUUGCAUAAUUUUUGAUAGUAAUGUCAACUUUAAUCAGCAUGUUAAAACAAUUGUCCAGUCUUGUUUCAUCCAACUACGCAGAAUCUCCAAAAUCCAGUCCUUUCUGUCUCCCAAGAACCUGGAAAUUGUCAUUCAUGCAUCCCGUUUAGAUUACUGUAACUCACUCUACUCCUGCCUAAGUAAACAUAAUCUUUCCAGACUUCAGCUUAUUCAAAAUUCUGCUGCCAGAAAUUCAAACAAAAGAGUACACAUAACCCCGAUUUUAGCUUCAUUACACUGGCUACCUGUGCGUUUUAGAAUUGAUUUUAAGAUUUUAAUGAUCACUUUUAAGGCCCGGAUGGGACUGGCCCCUAAGUACAUCAAAGACUGCUUAGUCCCAUAUGAGCCAAGGCAAAGCCUGAGAUCCUCCGGUGGGUCCCUAUUAGAGAUUCCAAGAUCUAGAUUGAAAGCCAAGGGCGACCGGGCCUUUGCUAUCAGGGCCCCGUCGCUCUGGAACGACCUGCCGGACGAGAUCAGUUGAGCCACAUCUCUGUCCUCUUUUAAAUCUCUCUUUAAAACACACUUUUUUAAAUGUGCUUUUACUUAAUUGCUGUUGUCAUCUAAUAAUGUACUCUAUUUUCUAAUGUUUUAUUGUUUUUUAUGUUCUUAUGUUUUUAUAUUAUUGUCAUUUUAUUGGAUUCUGCCUUUUUAUUCUGCUGUUGUAAAGUACCUUGUAACUUUGUUUGGUGCUAUACAAAUAAAGCUUAUUAUUAUUAUUAUUAUUAUUACUAUUAUUUUUCAAUAUCAAAAAAACACUCUGCAAUAACAGAUUCUUUGUUAGUUUGAGCUUUCCUGAUUUCUGACUCCAGACAUAGGACAGAGUCCAUUGUCCAUUGUCAUAUGUAGAAAUUAGAAAAUAGUCAUUUGCUCUUUAGAAAGUGUUUUAGUCUUUCUGUUACUAUUCGUUCCAUUGUCUUCACUAACUGUGAAGUUAAUGCAAUGGGCCUGUAACGUGAUGAUGGAUUAGAUAAAUCUUUACCUGGUUUGAGUAUUGGUACAAUAACUGACUGCUUCCAUGUUUGCGAUCGAUUGUGGCUGUAUUCCAUAUCAUGUUGAACAAUCUUAAUACAAUUUCAAGUGUACUGUCUUUCAUAUGAGCUAGCAUGCUGUGGCAGAUAUUGUCUUUUCUUGGCAAGGUUUGCCGCACAUUAGAAAGGGCUCUCCUUAAUUCAAAAAGAUUAAGUGGUAAAUCUAAAUAUUCUCCUGAUGAAGCCCCUCUUUCUGUGAUUCCUGGAUUUUGUGCAAGGGUACUGUCUCUACAUUGCUUAGCUUUUUCUGAUAGAUUUCCUGAGUUGUUGAUUUUCACAAAUGUCUUCACUAAGAGUUCUGCCUUUUCUACAUUACUAACUGCACUUAUAUUUCUGUUGGUCAGCACUGGUAUUUCAAAAUUGUUCUUUAUGCCAUUCCUAAUCAUACCCCACACAUCUGACAGUUGUGUUUCUCUCCCAAUCUUUUUACAGUAUUGACUCCAGUAUGUUCCUUUUGCUGAUCUAACCGUUUUUAGAACUGUUGCUUGUGCUCUUUUAUAUUGAAUCAAUGUGUCCAUUGUGUGGUGAGCUUAAAGUUGUCUGAAUGCUCUAUUUCUCAUUUUAAUGGCUUUAUUGCAAUUUUCAUCCCACCAUGGUACACUUUUCUUACAUUUGCCUCCUACACUCUUUGGAGUAGUCUUUUCUGCUGUCUGUAUAAUAGCUGUAACCAACUUUUUAUUAAGUUCCUCCACAUCUACUAUACUCUCUCCUGUUAGCUCUGCACAUCUGGCUUCACUUAACACUUGAAAUGCACCCCAGUUCACUUUACCUAACUUCCACCUUGGUAAUCUCCUUUCCCCCUUUUGACAUAUCUCUAUUCCUAUUUUGAUUCUUAUUGGGUAGUGAUCACUACCCAUUAAUGACUGGUUCAAUACCUCCCAAGUACUAAUUCCUGCAGUUACAGUGGAUGUGAAUGUCAAAUCUAUUGCACUUUCUGUAUUCUGUGAAAUGUUAUUUCUUGUACCCUUUCCAUCAUUAAGACAUACUAAGCCCUUCUCAUCCAUGAAUUCCUCAAUUACAGACCCAUUAGCAUCUGUAUUGCUACUCCCCUACAAAGUAUUGUGCACGUUAAAAUCCCCACACAUUAUUUUACCUUGUGUCAGCCCACAUGCAGCAUUUAAUAACAUGUUAGGACUUAGUCUAUUACAAGGGUUAUAGUAAUUGACUGCUGUCCUUUCCUGUGCAUACUUUCACUACAAUAGAUUCUUGUUCUUUCUCUAGAUAAGUUAUAACCCAUCCCUUACAAAUGUAGCCACACCUCCACCUUUCCCAGUUUCCCUAUCAUUCCAGAUUACAGUAUAUCCAUAUAAAACAAAAUUCCACACUGAUUUCAGCCAUGUUUCCUGUAUACACAUCACGAGGCUUGUCAACUAAAUUUGAAACAUACUUUUUAUAUUUUUGUCCAUUAGCAAUAAGGCUUCUAGCAUUUUACUGUAGGUCAAUUAAUACCAUUAUGAGCCCCCAUCCAAUGCCUGAGUGCUAGAAGUUCCUUCACUUAACUUUUCUUCAACUGCAACUCCCAGCUUAGUCCUUUAACUCCAAGGUGUUUCUCUGCUGAUUUUACUAUGAUCUUGAUUUUUUUCGUUUUCUUGUCUGUCUGUGCUGAGCAGUUUAUCACAUCUACCAUUAACAACACAAAUUCAUUCAUUCAUUCAUUCAUCUUCUAACCGCUUCAUCCUCGUGAGGGUCGCGGGGGGGCUGGAGCCUAUCCCAGCUGACAUCGGGCGAGAGGCAGGGUACACCCUGGACAGGUCGCCAGACUAUCGCAGGGCUGACACAUAGAGACAAACAACCAUUCACACUCACAUUCACACCUACGGACAAUUUAGAGUUAUCAAUCAACCUAGUCCCCAAUCUGCAUGUCUUUGGACUGUGGGAGGAAGCCGGAGUGCCCGGAGAGAACCCACGCUGACACGGGGAGAACAUGCAAACUCCGCACAGAAGGGCUCCCACACCCGGGAUCGAACCGGCAACCCUCUUGCUGUGAGGCGCCAGUGCUAACCACCACACCACCAUGCCGCAACACAAAUUCACUCUUGCUCAAAAUUAACAAAUCUGUCUUUUCAGCAAUCUUGUUACAUCCACCGCAGGGUCUGUUGCUACUCUCUGUGCCCACUGAUUUAGAGGCCUCUGUCUGCCCGCACACUUUCUUCACUGCCUCUGCAUAUGUGAUCCCCUGAGAGACUUUGACUCAUUGCACUUCUGCUGCUUUCUUACUGACUUCACAUCCUCGAUAGGCUGAGCUAUGUUUACCUUCACAAUUGCAACACUUCAGUUUCGGUUUUUCAAAUUUCUCAUACUUGUGCUCACCUGCACACCUACCACAUCUUUGCUUGCCCUUGCAGUUUGCUGCUAAAUGACCAUAUUUUUGGCACUUGAAACACCUUAGUGGUGGAGGGAUAUAUGGCCAUACCUCAUAGCUCACGUAACCUAUAUACACUUCACUUGGUAGUUAAGGUUUGUCGAGUUUAAUCAUGACGGACAAGCUGUCACAUUUUUUCUCCAUAUCUGGUUGUUUUCAGGAGUUUUGCUUCCAACACUUUUGUGCCCUCCAGGUUAUCUUUAAAUUGCUAUUCUGACACAACUGUAGGUACUCUUGAAAUGACACCAUGGACAAACUUUUUAUCCUUGAGCAGUGAACUUUCCUUGUUGUGCGCUAUCCUGACAGAAGAUCAGCAAUGAUGAAUUAAUAUUGUUGUAAGCUAUUAUCAUUACUGUCUGCCCUGCAUCUCUCUCUGGCUGUCUCAAUUUCUCUCUCUGUCUCUGUCUCUCUUUAUGUAUAAUAUUGUCAUAUGGAUUACUGCAAAUUUAUAAUGUCGAUCUGUUCUGUACGACAUCUAUUGUACGUCUGUCUGUCCUGGAAGAGGGAUCCCCCCUCAGUUGCUCUUCCUGAGGUUUCUACCAUUUUUUUUUUCUGUUAAAGGGUUUUUUUGGGGGAGUUUUUCCUUAUUCACUGUGAGGGCACAAAGGACAGAGGGAUGUUGUAUGCUGUAAAGCCCUGUGAGGCAAAUUGUGAUUUGUGAUAUUGGACUUAAUAAAUAAAAUUGAUUGA
This is a long non-coding RNA of Epinephelus moara (kelp grouper), 10647 nucleotides long. RefSeq lists it as uncharacterized. The record is from RefSeq and is a predicted model, not a curated record. The transcript has 4 exons. NCBI's taxonomy places the organism in Eukaryota, Metazoa, Chordata, Actinopteri, Perciformes, Serranidae.